Mariannaea sp. PMI_226 is the source of this 110-nucleotide non-coding RNA. NCBI's taxonomy places the organism in Eukaryota, Fungi, Ascomycota, Sordariomycetes, Hypocreales, Nectriaceae. The record is from the annotation of a GenBank genome assembly.
GGACAGAUGGCCGAGCGGUCUAAGGCGCUGUGUUCAGGUUGCAUCUUCAACUAAGAACGACUUUCUUCGCAGUCUCGUAAGAGGCGUGAGUUCGAAUCUCACUCUGUUCA